GAAUCUGUAGGUGAUUUUAUCAUUUGUACCAACUGUUAUUUGCCUUCACCUAAAAAGAGUUAUUAAUGUGCUGCAGAGUACCUUGAGAUGCAUGAAACCACUUGGUUGAUGUUGGUUAGGUGGUUAUAAGUAAAGGUUAGUCUUGAGCUCAUACUAAUUAGACUCUUGAGUGAUUCAGUUUCUACCACAAUGAAGUUUAUGAAGCUUUGGGUCAAAGCCUGAUUCUUUUCAGGAUGACGACGACUGUGUAAUAUUUGUGACAACUGGGUUGGCAACUGACAUCAUUGUGAAUGUUGGAGAUGUGAAGUUUAAUCUACAUAAGGUUGUACAACUAGGUGGGAAAGAUAUGCUUGCAAUGCUUCAUAUUGGCUUGCAAAAGUGCCGGAAAAUUGAAUGUUUUUGUAAGUCAAAUAUUUAUUUUACCCCCUUAAUGACUGUGAGAUUUAAUGCACAAGCUUCUCCCUUUUCUUUUAUUGUAAAUAUCAUGUACAAAAUUGUCAAAUCUAAUAAAAUUCCAGU
This is a long non-coding RNA of Asparagus officinalis (garden asparagus), 519 nucleotides long. RefSeq lists it as uncharacterized. The transcript is spliced from 3 exons. The record is from RefSeq and is a predicted model, not a curated record. Lineage: Eukaryota; Viridiplantae; Streptophyta; Magnoliopsida; Asparagales; Asparagaceae.